Oncorhynchus tshawytscha (Chinook salmon) is the source of this 946-nucleotide long non-coding RNA. Lineage: Eukaryota; Metazoa; Chordata; Actinopteri; Salmoniformes; Salmonidae. The record is from Ensembl.
UGACCAGACAGAGUAGUUUCUCUAAGGGGUAUAUUGACCAGACAGAGUAGUUUCUCUAAGGGAUAUAAUGACCAGACAGACUAGUUUCUCUAAGGGGUUUAUUGACCAGACAGACUAGUUUCUCUAAGGGGUAUAUUGACCAGACAGACUAUUUUCUCUAAGGGAUAUAAUGACCAGACAGACUAGUUUCUCUAAGGGGUAUAUUGACCAGACAGAGUAGUUUCUCUAAGGGGUAUAUUGACCAGACAGAGUAGUUUCUCUAAGGGGUAUAUUGACCAGACAGACUAGUUUCUCUAAGGGAUAUAAUGACCAGACAGACUAGUUUCUCUAAGGGGUAUAUUGACCAGACAGAGUAGUUUCUCUAAGGGAUAUAAUGACCAGACAGACUAGUUUCUCUAAGGGGUUUAUUGACCAGACAGACUAGUUUCUCUAAGGGGUAUAUUGACCAGACAGACUAGUUUCUCUAAGGGGUAUAUUGACCAGACAGACUAGUUUCUCUAAGGGAUAUAAUGACCAGACAGAGUAGUUUCUCUAAGGGGUAUAUUGACCAGACAGAGUAGUUUCUCUAAGGGAUAUAAUGACCAGACAGAGUAGUUUCUCUAAGGGAUAUAUUGACCAGACAGACUAGUUUCUCUAAGGGGUAUAUUGACCAGAGUAGUUUCUCUAAGGGGUUUAUUGACCAGACAGAGAAAGAGAGGACGGAUUCCCUUAACACUGCCCUUCUUAACCCAAAACCCUCACAGUCAACAGAACUGAGGAUCACUUCAUGUGUUAGUAUCCAAAUACCAAGAUCUCCUGAAUUGGCCUUAACAGCAGAUGUUUGUGUCAGAUUUAUGGACACUAGGCAGGUAGUCUAGUGGUUAGAGGAGGCAGGUAGUCUAGUGGUUAGAGGAGGCAGGUAGCCUAGUGGUUAGAGGUGGGUGACAGGUAGCCUAGUGGUUAGAGG